RNAcentral lists this ribosomal RNA (1550 nucleotides) under Cytobacillus gottheilii. Its description in RNAcentral is "bacterial SSU rRNA". It matches the Rfam family "Bacterial small subunit ribosomal RNA". Lineage: Bacteria; Bacillati; Bacillota; Bacilli; Caryophanales; Bacillaceae. The record is from RNAcentral.
UUCUUGGAGAGUUUGAUCCUGGCUCAGGACGAACGCUGGCGGCGUGCCUAAUACAUGCAAGUCGAGCGGACAGAUGGGAGCUUGCUCCCUGAAGUCAGCGGCGGACGGGUGAGUAACACGUGGGCAACCUGCCUGUAAGACUGGGAUAACUUCGGGAAACCGGAGCUAAUACCGGAUAAUGCUUUUGGACUCAUGUUCUUAAGCUGAAAGAUGGUUUCGGCUAUCACUUACAGAUGGGCCCGCGGCGCAUUAGCUAGUUGGUGAGGUAACGGCUCACCAAGGCAACGAUGCGUAGCCGACCUGAGAGGGUGAUCGGCCACACUGGGACUGAGACACGGCCCAGACUCCUACGGGAGGCAGCAGUAGGGAAUCUUCCGCAAUGGACGAAAGUCUGACGGAGCAACGCCGCGUGAGUGAUGAAGGUUUUCGGAUCGUAAAACUCUGUUGUUAGGGAAGAACAAGUACCGGAGUAACUGCCGGUACCUUGACGGUACCUAACCAGAAAGCCACGGCUAACUACGUGCCAGCAGCCGCGGUAAUACGUAGGUGGCAAGCGUUGUCCGGAAUUAUUGGGCGUAAAGCGCGCGCAGGCGGUCCUUUAAGUCUGAUGUGAAAGCCCACGGCUCAACCGUGGAGGGUCAUUGGAAACUGGGGGACUUGAGUGCAGAAGAGGAGAGUGGAAUUCCACGUGUAGCGGUGAAAUGCGUAGAGAUGUGGAGGAACACCAGUGGCGAAGGCGACUCUCUGGUCUGUAACUGACGCUGAGGCGCGAAAGCGUGGGGAGCGAACAGGAUUAGAUACCCUGGUAGUCCACGCCGUAAACGAUGAGUGCUAAGUGUUAGAGGGUUUCCGCCCUUUAGUGCUGCAGCAAACGCAUUAAGCACUCCGCCUGGGGAGUACGGCCGCAAGGCUGAAACUCAAAGGAAUUGACGGGGGCCCGCACAAGCGGUGGAGCAUGUGGUUUAAUUCGAAGCAACGCGAAGAACCUUACCAGGUCUUGACAUCCUCUGACACUCCUAGAGAUAGGACGUUCCCCUUCGGGGGACAGAGUGACAGGUGGUGCAUGGUUGUCGUCAGCUCGUGUCGUGAGAUGUUGGGUUAAGUCCCGCAACGAGCGCAACCCUUGAUCUUAGUUGCCAGCAUUCAGUUGGGCACUCUAAGGUGACUGCCGGUGACAAACCGGAGGAAGGUGGGGAUGACGUCAAAUCAUCAUGCCCCUUAUGACCUGGGCUACACACGUGCUACAAUGGAUGGUACAAAGGGCUGCAAGACCGCGAGGUUUAGCCAAUCCCAUAAAACCAUUCUCAGUUCGGAUUGCAGGCUGCAACUCGCCUGCAUGAAGCCGGAAUCGCUAGUAAUCGCGGAUCAGCAUGCCGCGGUGAAUACGUUCCCGGGCCUUGUACACACCGCCCGUCACACCACGAGAGUUUGUAACACCCGAAGUCGGUGGGGUAACCUUUUGGAGCCAGCCGCCUAAGGUGGGACAGAUGAUUGGGGUGAAGUCGUAACAAGGUAGCCGUAUCGGAAGGUGCGGCUGGAUCACCUCCUUU